UACGUAGGGUGCAAGCGUUGUCCGGAAUUAUUGGGCGUAAAGGGCUCGUAGGCGGUCUGUCACGUCGGGAGUGAAAACUCAGGGCUUAACCCUGAGCCUGCUUCCGAUACGGGCAGACUAGAGGUAUGCAGGGGAGAACGGAAUUCCUGGUGUAGCGGUGAAAUGCGCAGAUAUCAGGAGGAACACCGGUGGCGAAGGCGGUUCUCUGGGCAUUACCUGACGCUGAGGAGCGAAGGUGUGGGGAGCGAACAGG
Molecule: ribosomal RNA, 253 nt
Filed under: uncultured bacterium
Lineage: Bacteria
Description: partial 16S ribosomal RNA
Rfam family: Bacterial small subunit ribosomal RNA
Source: RNAcentral